Molecule: ribosomal RNA, 253 nt
Filed under: uncultured bacterium
Lineage: Bacteria
Description: partial 16S ribosomal RNA
Rfam family: Bacterial small subunit ribosomal RNA
Source: RNAcentral
UACGUAGGGUGCAAGCGUUAAUCGGAAUUACUGGGCGUAAAGCGUGCGCAGGCGGUUGUGUAAGACAGAUGUGAAAUCCCCGGGCUCAACCUGGGAACUGCAUUUGUGACUGCACGGCUGGAGUGCGGCAGAGGGGGAUGGAAUUCCGCGUGUAGCAGUGAAAUGCGUAGAUAUGCGGAGGAACACCGAUGGCGAAGGCAAUUCCCUGGGCCUGCACUGACGCUCAUGCACGAAAGCGUGGGGAGCAAACAGG